ACAACAUUUGGACCGUCGGUCUACAGAGCAAUAUCACCCGCUCGGUGGAAGAUCUUCCGUCGU
This 63-nucleotide microRNA precursor is filed under the name Bombyx mori (domestic silkworm). Its description in RNAcentral is "mir-2774 microRNA precursor family". It matches the Rfam family "mir-2774 microRNA precursor family". The record is from Rfam by way of RNAcentral. Lineage: Eukaryota; Metazoa; Arthropoda; Insecta; Lepidoptera; Bombycidae.